UUUUAGUACGAAAGUGGGCUUAAAGCCCAAUUAUCUCUUUGAUUCUCUUUUUCGGUCCAACUGAGAAAAAGGGGGUCUCCACUUCCAUUGUUGUUGAGAUGUGAUGACUACACAGGAAAGGGUUUUCACCAGAGCAACCCUUUCCUUCCCUUUUUGCUCGGCAUCAACUUAGAGGCGGCGGCGUUAGCGUCAGGGUGGCAGCGAGUUUGCGGCUCAGGGAGGUGGAGACGCGAAUGAGGGUAACCGGCUUUGUCGCGGUGGCGCGAUGUUGAAAGUGGGGAAGCGUGAGGAAAGCAACAGCCUCAGAGCGGCGGCAGCGUCCGAUUAAAGGAGAACGACGGAGGCAAGGAGGAUGGUUCGUGGUCACAGGGAUCGUCGCAGCAGUGAUGGUUGACGAAGGCAGUGCUGACGGCGGAGAUCCGAAGGAGAAGCGUCGAGCUGGGUGGUGUCCGCGGUGGAGAAGAAUAUUGCGGUGGUGGCGGAUAAGGGUCGCACGACGAAGAGGGUGACUCGCGAUGGUGAUAUUAAACAAAGGGAAGGGUAUCCGCGGCCAAGGAUAGGCGGGAAUCAGGGCUCACAGUGACUUACGGCGGAGGUGUUGAUGGCUGUCACGGUGGAAGAGACGGUGAGAUUGGAAGAGCGGCGGUGAUGGUGGCUGCUAUGGCUGAGGUCGAAGACGCGACGGUGAAUAUGGGUUCGAUUGGAAUGUGACUGGCUCGCGGAGGCCAGACCGAAGAGAAGCCAAGGUCUCCUGCGGGUUGUGGUCACGCGAUGGCAGUGAUGAUGAGUGGGAAGCUGAGUGGCGGGGAAAGAUGAUGACGAGCUUAGAUGCGGUCCGUGGACAUCUUUCUUACCCAGGGAUAUGAAACAGUGGAAGAUUAAGUUCGGACAGCCUUCAUGUUGAAAGAAAUUGGGCUGGCAAGUCAUAAUGAGACUGUGAUGAAGUAGAUGGUUCGGUGUGAGGGUGACCGGCGACUACCGUGGUCGGUGAGGAGGACCAGUGACGACAGCAGUCAUGGUGGCAUAUGGGAGCUUUAUUGAUUGGAUUGAAGGAAGAAUAGGAAGAAAGUAGAAUUUGAUUUUGAUAUAUCUUUUCUGUAUUAGACAUUAGAUAUGCAGGGAUUGUGGUAUGAUAUCUAUGAUCAAUUACGAUGCAAA
Long non-coding RNA from Vigna angularis (adzuki bean), 1158 nucleotides. RefSeq lists it as uncharacterized. The transcript has 2 exons. NCBI's taxonomy places the organism in Eukaryota, Viridiplantae, Streptophyta, Magnoliopsida, Fabales, Fabaceae. The record is from RefSeq and is a predicted model, not a curated record.